This 238-nucleotide ribosomal RNA is filed under the name uncultured bacterium. Its description in RNAcentral is "partial 16S ribosomal RNA". It matches the Rfam family "Bacterial small subunit ribosomal RNA", at positions 15 to 257 of the family's 1533-position model. The record is from RNAcentral.
GAUCAUGGCUCAGGACGAACGCUGGCGGCGUGCUUCAUACAUGCAAGUCGAACGAGAAUCUGACUUCGGUCAGAGGAAAGUGGCGGACGGGUGAGUAAAAUGUAGAGAACCUGCCUUUGAGUGGGGGACAACAGUUGGAAACGAUUGCUAAUACCCCAUAUGAGUAUAGUUGAAAUAUUAUACUUGAAAACUCCGGUGCUCAAAGAUGAGUCUGCAUCUGAUUAGCUAGUUGGGGGUG